This 768-nucleotide ribosomal RNA is filed under the name uncultured bacterium. Its description in RNAcentral is "bacterial SSU rRNA". It matches the Rfam family "Bacterial small subunit ribosomal RNA", at positions 28 to 776 of the family's 1533-position model. The record is from RNAcentral.
GACGAACGCUGGCGGCGUGCCUAAUACAUGCAAGUCGAGCGAAGUUUUUCUGGUGCUUGCACUAGAAAAACUUAGCGGCGAACGGGUGAGUAACACGUAAAGAACCUGCCUCAUAGACUGGGACAACUAUUGGAAACGAUAGCUAAUACCGGAUAACGGUAUUUCUCGCAUGAGAGAUAUUUAAAAGUUGGUUAUGCUAACACUAUGAGAUGGCUUUGCGGUGCAUUAGCUAGUUGGUGGGGUAAAGGCCCACCAAGGCGACGAUGCAUAGCCGACCUGAGAGGGUGAUCGGCCACACUGGGACUGAGACACGGCCCAGACUCCUACGGGAGGCAGCAGUAGGGAAUCUUCCGCAAUGGGCGAAAGCCUGACGGAGCAACGCCGCGUGAGUGAAGAAGGAUUUCGGUUCGUAAAGCUCUGUUGUUAGGGAAGAAUGGAUAUGUAGUAACUAUACAUAUAAGAGACGGUACCUAACCAGAAAGCCACGGCUAACUACGUGCCAGCAGCCGCGGUAAUACGUAGGUGGCAAGCGUUGUCCGGAAUUAUUGGGCGUAAAGCGCGCGCAGGUGGUUUAAUAAGUCUGAUGUGAAAGCCCACGGCUCAACCGUGGAGGGUCAUUGGAAACUGUUAAACUUGAGUGCAGGAGAGAAAAGUGGAAUUCCUAGUGUAGCGGUGAAAUGCGUAGAGAUUAGGAGGAACACCAGUGGCGAAGGCGGCUUUUUGGCCUGUAACUGACACUGAGGCGCGAAAGCGUGGGAAGCAAACAGG